This 492-nucleotide ribosomal RNA is filed under the name uncultured bacterium. Its description in RNAcentral is "partial 16S ribosomal RNA". The stretch from base 52 to 492 matches the Rfam family "Bacterial small subunit ribosomal RNA", at positions 39 to 507 of the family's 1533-position model. The record is from RNAcentral.
GGGGGGGGGGGGGGGGGGGGGGGGGGGGGGGGGGGCGGGGGGUGAGGGGGGGUGGGGUGGGGGCGGGGGGCGAACGGGGGAGUGAUGCAUGGGGACGUACCCAGAGGUGGGGGGUGACGCAGCGAAAGCUGUGCUAGUACCGCAUGUGAGCUGAGGAUGAAAGCGGGGGACCGAGCAGCAAUGUUUGGCCUCGCGCCUUUGGGGCGGCCGAUGUCGGAUUAGCUAGUUGGUGGGGUAAAGGCCUACCAAGGCGACGCUCCGUAGCUGGUCUGAGAGGACGACCAGCCACACUGGGACUGAGACACGGCCCAGACUCCUACGGGAGGCAGCAGUGGGGAAUUUUGGACAAUGGGCGCAAGCCUGAUCCAGCAAUGCCGCGUGCGGGAAGAAGGCCUUCGGGUUGUAAACCGCUUUUGGCAGGAACGAAACGGUGUCCGCUAAUACCGGGCGCUAAUGACGGUACCUGCAGAAUAAGCACCGGCUAACUACGUG